RNAcentral lists this ribosomal RNA (781 nucleotides) under uncultured Neocallimastigales. Its description in RNAcentral is "partial large subunit ribosomal RNA". It matches the Rfam family "Eukaryotic large subunit ribosomal RNA", at positions 22 to 640 of the family's 3401-position model. The record is from RNAcentral. Lineage: Eukaryota; Fungi; Neocallimastigomycota; Neocallimastigomycetes; Neocallimastigales.
CAUAGCGACUAUCGUGGCAUAUCAAUAAGCGGAGGAAAAGAAACUAACAAGGAUUCCCUUAGUAACGGCGAGUCGAAGCGGGAAGAGCUCAAAUUUGAAAUCUUCAAGGUUCUACCUUGACGAAUUGUAGUUUAUAGAAGUGUUUUCUGUUAGUGGAGUGGCAAAAGUUCUUUGGAAUAGGACAUCAUAGAGGGUGAGAAUCCCGUAUUUGGUCAUUCCUCCUAGCGUUGUGAUACACUUUCAACGAGUCGGAUUGUUUGGGAAUGCAGUCCAAAAUGGGUGGUAAAUUUCAUCUAAAGCUAAAUAUUGGCGAGAGACCGAUAGCGAACAAGUACCGUGAGGGAAAGAUGAAAAGAACUUUGAAAAGAGAGUUAAACAGUACGUGAAAUUGUCAAAAGGGAAGCGUUUGACACCAGUGUUGUUUUCUCGAAAAUCAAUUAAAAGAUGUUUGGAUUUUGUAUAGUUAAUGACCUUCAUCAGCUUACUGUACUUUUUCUUACUACUUUCUUAAUGCACUUUUCGUUAACAAGUCAACAUCAGUUUCUUUUGUUGUAAAAGGGUCAUGAGGAAGGUGGCUUUCUUUUCGGAGAAAGUGUUUAUAGCCUUGUAGCCUCUACAAUCGGAGAGAUUGAGGUCUGCAGCGUAGAUCCUUCGGGGUUAGAUACAGUUUGUGCUAAGUUAUAGCUUUUCAUAGACAACUUGUUGACUAUGUUUAGUCUUGUAGCUUACUCGCUGAUGCUAUUUUACCUACGCUUAGGAUGUUGAUAUGCAUGACUGAUAU